AUGACGCCCAGCUUCCGCCGCCACCGCCGCCUCCGCCCCCGCCCGGCGUCGGCGCCGCCGCUGGAGGACGGCGACCUGCUCGACGAGAUCCUCCUCCGCCUCUCCCCGGAUCCGUCCUCCCUACCGCGCGCCUCCGCCGUCUGCACCCGCUGGCGCCGCCUCGUCUCCGACCCCGGCUUCGUCGGCCGCUUCCGCCUCCGCCACCGCCGCAGCCCUCCCAUCCUCGGCUGCUUCAUCAGGGACAAGCAAAGUCCGGUCGUCUCCUUCGUACCCACCAUGGAGGCCCCCAAUCGUGUCCCCGCCGAGCGCUUCUCCUUGCAGCUCGGCGGCCGCGGCCCCAUCACUUUCCUCGACUGCCGCCACAGCCUCCUGCUCAUGUUCCUCCCGUAUUGGAUCAAGGUCCUGGUGUGGGACCCCGUCACCGGAGACCAGCACCGCCUAGACAUUCCCCCGGGGUUCGACACGAAGCAGGGGAUCGGCGGGGCGGUGCUUCGCGCCGCCGGGGCCAUCCGCCACUUCCAGGUGGUCUUGUUGGGCAGAGACAAACAAGUGAUCACCGCCUGCGUCUACUCGUCCGAGGCGGGCGUAUGGGGCAAUCUCGUCUCGACUCCGCUUCCAAAUGAGGUGCCAGUUGACUUCGAUUUUAGGGGGGUGCCUGUGCUGAUUGGGGAUUCCCUUCACUAUCUGAUUACGGGUGUCUGUUCUAGAAUCCUUGAGUUUGAUUUGAAUAAGAGGAUCCUAACCGUGAUAGCAGGGCCUGUAGAUAUUCUUGAUGUGGGUAGUUGCCAAUCCACGGUUAUGCGGGCAGAGGAUGGUGGGCCUGGUAUUCUAUUCAAGUCUGACUGCAAUGUCCAGUUGUGGAGGAGGAAGAUUGAUUGUGAUGGCCAGGCUUCAUGGGUGCUGGGAAGAACUUUUGAGCUAGACACGCUACUUUCCCUGAAUUCAGAGGAGAAAGAGCCCACGGUGAUGCUAGGCUUGGCUGAGUACAAUAAUGCGGUGGUGGUGCAGACGGUUGCCGGCCACUUCAUGGUCCAGCUUGAGUCAUUGCAAUUCAAUAAGAUGUACGAAGCCAGCAGUUGGCAUUUCCAUCAACCAUUCGAAAGUGUCUAUACUGGAGAAACAAGCAUUGGUGGUGGAGGACACAAUGGAGCUGAACUUUUGCACAACACUUAA
RNAcentral lists this ribosomal RNA (1173 nucleotides) under Triticum aestivum (bread wheat). Its description in RNAcentral is "partial small subunit ribosomal RNA". The record is from RNAcentral. Lineage: Eukaryota; Viridiplantae; Streptophyta; Magnoliopsida; Poales; Poaceae.